Long non-coding RNA from Anastrepha ludens (Mexican fruit fly), 461 nucleotides. RefSeq lists it as uncharacterized. The record is from RefSeq and is a predicted model, not a curated record. The transcript has 3 exons. NCBI's taxonomy places the organism in Eukaryota, Metazoa, Arthropoda, Insecta, Diptera, Tephritidae.
AUUUACGUUAUGAAACAAGCCAAACCCUAAAUAUAAGCAGCUUCAAAUUUUUGAAAAUACAAUAGUAAACAAGCUUGUUUCGGUUUGCCUAAGCUGAAGCCACCAUCAUCACCAACAACAAAGGUCAUGCCUAUAAAAAUGGACAUAGUGGAUUUACGAGGUGGCGGUCGGAGUCCAGCUUCGGGCGGGAGGAAUUGCUCGAUAUUUUAAGGGAGAAAUUCCUCGAAUUUUCAACAAGGCAACCAGGAUUUCAUCAAUCGACGGAUCAGGAUAUAUUAUGCGCUACCGGACCUGGCGGACGUUGAGGCCGGAAGCUCAAAUGCUCAUCUUUAAUCAACACGUCUUCAACAAAAGGCCACUUCUAACUGGAGUAAAAAAUAAGGUUUGUCAAUAAAACUUAGGAUGUAAAUUCAUAGAAGAUCAAGAAUGGAUAGCAUAGAAACUGAGCGAAAUCGAAUAAU